Molecule: small nuclear RNA, 134 nt
Filed under: Amborella trichopoda
Lineage: Eukaryota; Viridiplantae; Streptophyta; Magnoliopsida; Amborellales; Amborellaceae
Description: snRNA U4
Rfam family: U4 spliceosomal RNA
About the family: U4 small nuclear RNA (U4 snRNA) is a component of the major U2-dependent spliceosome. The structure of U4 snRNA from yeast and human has been reported.
Source: Rfam by way of RNAcentral
GUCUUUGCGAUUGGGGCAAUGAUGCAGCUUGUGGGUAAACCCGAGGCGCGUCAAUUGCUGGUUGAAAACUACUUCCAAACCCCCUCUUAGGCCUGGGUUCAGCCCUGGCCUUCGAGAAUUGCCCUGAGAAAGGG